UACACGCUGUGACUAGCAUAUCAAUAAGCGGAGGAAAAGAAACUAACAAGGAUUCCCCUAGUAACGGCGAGUGAAGCGGGAAGAGCUCAAAUUUGAAAUCUUAAAGGGUUUCCCUUUACGAAUUGUAGUUUAAAGAAGUGUUUUCUGUUGAGGUUUUGGUAAAAGUUCUUUGGAAUAGGACAUCAUAGAGGGUGAGAAUCCCGUAUUUGACCUUUACUUUCAACUUUGUGAUACACUUUCAAAGAGUCCGGAUUGUUUGGGAAUGCAGUCCAAAAUGGGUGGUAAAUUUCAUCUAAAGCUAAAUAUUGGCGAGAGACCGAUAGCGAACAAGUACCGUGAGGGAAAGAUGAAAAGAACUUUGAAAAGAGAGUUAAACAGUACGUGAAAUUGUCAAAAGGGAAGCGUUUGACACCAGUGUUGUUUUUCUGAAAAUCAAUUAAAGAACUGUUUAUGCUAAGCUUGUUUAGACUUUAUCAGCUAUCUGUUUAGUUUUGAGCUUUUCUUUAAUGCACUUUUCAGUUAACAAGUCAACAUCAAUUUCUUUUGCUGUAAAAAAGCUUGAGGAAGGUGGCUUGAGAUUCGUCUUAAGUGUUUAUAGCCUCUUGCCUAUGCGGUCGGAGAGAUUGAGGUCUGCAGCGUAGAUCCUUCGGGGCUAAAUGCAUUUGUGCUAAGUUAUAGCACUUUAUAGACAACUUGUUGACUAUGAUUUGUCUUGUAGCUUACUCGCUUAUGUUAUUUUACCUACGCUUAGGAUGUUGAAGAUGUAGCACAUCAU
This 775-nucleotide ribosomal RNA is filed under the name uncultured Neocallimastigales. RNAcentral's name for it is "partial large subunit ribosomal RNA". It matches the Rfam family "Eukaryotic large subunit ribosomal RNA", at positions 22 to 635 of the family's 3401-position model. The record is from RNAcentral. Lineage: Eukaryota; Fungi; Neocallimastigomycota; Neocallimastigomycetes; Neocallimastigales.